Molecule: transfer RNA, 68 nt
Filed under: Pseudognaptodon sp. QL-2014
Lineage: Eukaryota; Metazoa; Arthropoda; Insecta; Hymenoptera; Braconidae
Description: tRNA-His
Source: RNAcentral
AUUUAAAUAGUUUAAAAAAAAAUAUUGAUUUGUGGAAUCAAAGAUUUAAAAAAAAUUUUAUUUAAAUU